This 506-nucleotide ribosomal RNA is filed under the name uncultured bacterium. RNAcentral describes it as "partial 16S ribosomal RNA". It matches the Rfam family "Bacterial small subunit ribosomal RNA", at positions 28 to 523 of the family's 1533-position model. The record is from RNAcentral.
GAUGAACGCUAGCGGCAGGCCUAACACAUGCAAGUCGAGGGGUAACUAGAGUGAUAGCAAUAUUACUUUGGCUAGACCGGCGCACGGGUGCGUAACACGUAUGCAACCUACCUUAUACUGGGGAAUAACUUCGAGAAAUCGGCGCUAAUACCCCAUAACACUGCGGAGAGGCAUCUCUUUGCAGUUAAAGCUCCGGCGGUAUAAGAUGGGCAUGUGUCCAAUUAGCUAGUUGGUGAGGUAACGGCUCACCAAGGCUACGAUUGGUUGGGGUUCUGGGAGGAUGAUCCCCCACACUGGUACUGAGACACGGACCAGACUCCUACGGGAGGCAGCAGUGAGGAAUAUUGCGCAAUGGACGAAAGUCUGACGCAGCCAUGCCGCGUGCAGGAUGACGGCCCUAUGGGUUGUAAACUGCUUUUGUACGGGAAUAAACCCUUCUACGUGUAGGAGGCUGAAGGUACCGUAAGAAUAAGCACCGGCUAACUCCGUGCCAGCCGCCGCAGUAA